UGAGGUGGCCGAGUUGGUUAUGGCGUUAGGUUAAGGCUACCUUAACAAGUAUUUAUCCUAAUGGGGCAACCCGCAUGGGUUCGAAUCCCAUCCUGCAA
This 98-nucleotide transfer RNA is filed under the name Microdochium bolleyi. RNAcentral describes it as "tRNA-Leu". It matches the Rfam family "tRNA", at positions 5 to 66 of the family's 71-position model. From Rfam's summary of the family: Transfer RNA (tRNA) molecules are approximately 80 nucleotides in length. Their secondary structure includes four short double-helical elements and three loops (D, anti-codon, and T loops). Further hydrogen bonds mediate the characteristic L-shaped molecular structure. tRNAs have two regions of fundamental functional importance: the anti-codon, which is responsible for specific mRNA codon recognition, and the 3' end, to which the tRNAs corresponding amino acid is attached (by aminoacyl-tRNA synthetases). tRNAs cope with the degeneracy of the genetic code in two manners: having more than one tRNA (with a specific anti-codon) for a particular amino acid; and 'wobble' base-pairing, i.e. permitting non-standard base-pairing at the 3rd anti-codon position. The record is from RNAcentral. Lineage: Eukaryota; Fungi; Ascomycota; Sordariomycetes; Xylariales; Microdochiaceae.